CCUGAGUAACGGCGAGCGAAAAGGGAUGAGCCCAGCGCCGAAUCCCCGGCCWCCGGUCGCGGGAAAUGUGGCGUUUAGGAGUGAGCGUGUCGCGUUCGRAGGCGGCGGCAAGUCCCCCUGACCGGGGCCUGUCCGUAGCGGGUGCGAGRCCCAUAGSCGCCGCAGUCGACGCGAAUGCRAUCUCYUUGGAGUCGGGUUGCUUGGGAGUGCAGCCCYAAUCGGGUGGUAAACUCCACCUAAGGCUAAAUACCGCCGUGAGACCGAUAGCAAACAAGUACCGUGAGGGAAAGUUGCAAAGAACUUUGAAGAGAGAGUUCAAGAGUACGUGAAACUGCUCAGAGGUAAACGGGUGGGCYCUCGAAAUCCUGUGGCGAGAGGAUUCAGUCUGGAUCGGCGGACGGCCGGGAGGAAAAUUYGAGCAGGGCUUCCGCCGAGCGCGGGCCGUCCUCCCGGUCGACCUCAUCCGUUWCAGACGCAUUUGUCUCUCGUCCCGAGGACGCUGCAGCCGGUCUGGAAMUGCAAGCGCGACGGCCUGAAGGUCGGGAACCGGAAGGUGGCCGGUGGCUCGCCUCGUGCGGGUSGCCGGUUGUUAGCCGUCUCGACAGUGGCUCGUCUCCAGACCGUGGUGUCGCGAGUCCCUUCGGGGACUCCUCGUCUCCMCCCUGAGUCGCGGAACAGGGCCCGGCCAGGAUCUUUAGCGUCGACCGUCGCACUUCCACGGAGUGGGCGGASGAGCUCGAGGCCCGAAUCGCCGGGACGGAUCCGCGGGGGACCGGAGGCUGGCAGCGAGUACGUCGGUCACCCACCCGACCCGUCUUGAAACACGGACCAAGGAGUCUAACAUGUGCGCGAGUCAAUGGGUCUUGACCAGGCCCAUGGGCGCAAUGAAAGCGAAGGACCGCCUCAGCGCGGUCUGAGUGGGGAUCCCCGGUCCUCGCGGCCGGGGCGCACCCGCGACCCGUCCUAUCCGGCUCGCCGGUUGGGCGGAGUCUGAGCGUACACGUUGGGACCCGAAAGAUGGUGAACUAUGCCCGGACAGGAYGAGGCCAGAGGAAACUCUGGUGGAGGUCCGCAGCGGUUC
Molecule: ribosomal RNA, 1081 nt
Filed under: Corticattus latus
Lineage: Eukaryota; Metazoa; Arthropoda; Arachnida; Araneae; Salticidae
Description: eukaryotic LSU rRNA
Rfam family: Eukaryotic large subunit ribosomal RNA
Source: RNAcentral